Molecule: long non-coding RNA, 555 nt
Organism: Scophthalmus maximus (turbot)
Lineage: Eukaryota; Metazoa; Chordata; Actinopteri; Pleuronectiformes; Scophthalmidae
Exons: 2
Source: RefSeq, a predicted model, not a curated record
UCGAGCGCCUCUCUGAAAUACUUCCUCUGCACGUCGAACUGAAAGAUGGUUCUCUCGCAGUCGGUGGAGGCAUUGUCACUUCCUCCGUGCUUCUUCAGGAAGGCGUCAAAACCGUUCUCCGCCGGGUAUUUCUCACUGCCCAUGAACACCACUGAACGAACAGCAGGGAGAGAGAGAAACAUAAAAGAAAAGAAAAAAAAGAAUUUAGUCAAAGAUGCAGGAAAAGGAUUUUCUCCAGGUCAGAACGUUCCAACACCCCGACCGACCCUCAGUUUCUCUCCAGCCCUUGACUCACUGUGUUCCAGGAAGUGGGCGAGGCCGGGCAGGUCGUCCGGGUCACUGAAGCUCCCCACGCUGAUGCACAGAGCCGCUGCCGCCUGGAAGCGCACACACGGAAAAAACAAUCAGCACCCACAUGACGGCUAGAGGGAAACACAUUAUCACGUCAGCCCACCUGCUUCUCGGAGCUCCCUCCCUUCUUCUUCUCCUCUGUGUUCUCCUCGUCCAGCUCCUCAAAGUCGCUGUCCUGCUCCGCUUCUUCCUUGUCCUCCUCGU